RNAcentral lists this ribosomal RNA (735 nucleotides) under uncultured Fusobacterium sp. RNAcentral describes it as "bacterial SSU rRNA". It matches the Rfam family "Bacterial small subunit ribosomal RNA", at positions 28 to 776 of the family's 1533-position model. The record is from RNAcentral. Lineage: Bacteria; Fusobacteriati; Fusobacteriota; Fusobacteriia; Fusobacteriales; Fusobacteriaceae.
GAUGAACGCUGACAGAACGCUUAACGCAUGCAAGUCAACUUGAAUUUGGGUUUUUAACUUAGAUUUGGGUGGCGGACGGGUGAGUAACGCGUAAAGAACUUGCCUCACAGCUAGGGACAACAUUUAGAAAUGAAUGCUAAUACCUGAUAUUAUGAUUUUAAGGCAUCUUAGAAUUAUGAAAGCUAUAAGCACUGUGAGAGAGCUUUGCGUCCCAUUAGCUAGUUGGAGAGGUAACAGCUCACCAAGGCGAUGAUGGGUAGCCGGCCUGAGAGGGUGAACGGCCACAAGGGGACUGAGACACGGCCCUUACUCCUACGGGAGGCAGCAGUGGGGAAUAUUGGACAAUGGACCGAGAGUCUGAUCCAGCAAUUCUGUGUGCACGAUGAAGUUUUUCGGAAUGUAAAGUGCUUUCAGUUGGGAAGAAAGAAAUGACGGUACCAACAGAAGAAGUGACGGCUAAAUACGUGCCAGCAGCCGCGGUAAUACGUAUGUCACGAGCGUUAUCCGGAUUUAUUGGGCGUAAAGCGCGUCUAGGUGGUUAUGUAAGUCUGAUGUGAAAAUGCAGGGCUCAACUCUGUAUUGCGUUGGAAACUGUGUAACUAGAGUACUGGAGAGGUAAGCGGAACUACAAGUGUAGAGGUGAAAUUCGUAGAUAUUUGUAGGAAUGCCGAUGGGGAAGCCAGCUUACUGGACAGAUACUGACGCUAAAGCGCGAAAGCGUGGGUAGCAAACAGG